RNAcentral lists this ribosomal RNA (517 nucleotides) under Aspergillus flavus. RNAcentral's name for it is "LSU rRNA". It matches the Rfam family "Eukaryotic large subunit ribosomal RNA", at positions 102 to 634 of the family's 3401-position model. Lineage: Eukaryota; Fungi; Ascomycota; Eurotiomycetes; Eurotiales; Aspergillaceae. The record is from RNAcentral.
CAAGAGCUCAAAUUUGAAAGCUGGCUCCUUCGGGGUCCGCAUUGUAAUUUGCAGAGGAUGCUUCGGGUGCGGCCCCUGUCUAAGUGCCCUGGAACGGGCCGUCAGAGAGGGUGAGAAUCCCGUCUGGGAUGGGGUGUCCGCGCCCGUGUGAAGCUCCUUCGACGAGUCGAGUUGUUUGGGAAUGCAGCUCUAAAUGGGUGGUAAAUUUCAUCUAAAGCUAAAUACUGGCCGGAGACCGAUAGCGCACAAGUAGAGUGAUCGAAAGAUGAAAAGCACUUUGAAAAGAGAGUUAAAAAGCACGUGAAAUUGUUGAAAGGGAAGCGCUUGCGACCAGACUCGCCUCCAGGGUUCAGCCGGCAUUCGUGCCGGUGUACUUCCCUGGGGGCGGGCCAGCGUCGGUUUGGGCGGCCGGUCAAAGGCUCCCGGAAUGUAGUGCCCUCCGGGGCACCUUAUAGCCGGGAGUGCAAUGCGGCCAGCCUGGACCGAGGAACGCGCUUCGGCACGGACGCUGGCAUAA